This 304-nucleotide unclassified non-coding RNA is filed under the name Melitaea cinxia (Glanville fritillary). RNAcentral's name for it is "misc RNA ENSMCXG00005003232.1". Lineage: Eukaryota; Metazoa; Arthropoda; Insecta; Lepidoptera; Nymphalidae. The record is from RNAcentral.
GUUUAUUCAUUAUCAUUAUAAAUUCAAGAUGGCCGCCGCUACAAAAUGGCGGAUAAUUUAUGUUUUAUUAAUCCCAUCAAUAUGGAUAUCAAAUGAAAGGGCUCAACAAGCAGAAUACAAUAUACUAUAAAAAAUUGAAAUACAAGAUGGCGGCCGCUACAAAAUGGUGGAUAACGUAGGUUUUAUCGAUCCCAUCAAUAUGGGUAUCAAAUGAAAGUGCUCAACCAGUAUAAUCAAUUUACUAUAUAAAAUUAAAAUCCAAGAUGGCGGCCUCUACAAAAUGGCGGAUAACUUAGGUUUUAUC